Ornithorhynchus anatinus (platypus) is the source of this 138-nucleotide small nucleolar RNA. NCBI's taxonomy places the organism in Eukaryota, Metazoa, Chordata, Mammalia, Monotremata, Ornithorhynchidae. The record is from RefSeq and is a predicted model, not a curated record.
CCCCUCUCAGGGUUGCAUCUUGAGAGUUUCCAGUACUCUUUCAGUCUCAACUACUGGAGGGAGAGUCAAACAGAGGCAUACCCAUUCCAUCCCUAGCUUGGGCAAUAGCUAGUGAGUGGAAGGCCAUCUGCUACAAGU